Molecule: long non-coding RNA, 1136 nt
Organism: Oncorhynchus keta (chum salmon)
Lineage: Eukaryota; Metazoa; Chordata; Actinopteri; Salmoniformes; Salmonidae
Exons: 8
Source: RefSeq, a predicted model, not a curated record
GUUCUGGUGUGAGUUAUAGGUCUGAGAUCGUACAGGAACAGAGAGCUGGGAUUUGUAGUUCUGGUGUGAGUUAUUUGUAGGUACUGUAUGCACGACCUGGACAGGAACAGACACAUGAGGAGGUCUGAGUUGGUGGAGAUGAGACAGGAACAGACACAUGAGGUCUGAGAUGGUAGAGGUGAGACAGGAACAGACACAUGAGGAGGUCUGAGAUGGUAGAGGUGAGACAGGAACAGACACAUGAGGAGGUCUGAGAUGGUAGAGGUGAGACAGGAACAGACACAUGAGGAGGUCUGAGAUGAUAGAGGUGAGACAGGAACAGACACAUGAGGAGGUCUGAGAUGAUAGAGGUGAGACAGGAACAGACACAUGAGGAGGUCUGAGAUGGUAGAGGUGAGACAGGAACAGACACAUGAGGAGGUCUGAGAUGAUAGAGGUGAGACAGGAACAGACACAUGAGGAGGUCUGAGAUGAUAGAGGUGAGACAGGAACAGACACAUGAGGAGGUCUGAGAUGAUAGAGGUGAGACAGGAACAGACACAUGAGGAGGUCUGAGAUGAUAGAGGUGAGACAGGAACAGACACAUGAGGAGGUCUGAGAUGGUAGAGGUGAGACAGGAACAGACACAUGAGGAGGUCUGAGAUGGUAGAGGUGAGACAGGAACAGACACAUGAGGAGGUCUGAGAUGAUAGAGGUGAGACAGGAACAGACACAUGAGGUCUGAGAUGAUAGAGGUGAGACAGGAACAGACACAUGAGGAGGUCUGAGAUGGUAGAGGUGAGACAGGAACAGACACAUGAGGAGGUCUGAGAUGAUAGAGGUGAGACAGGAACAGACACAUGAGGAGGUCUGAGAUGGUAGAGGUGAGACAGGAACAGACACAUGAGGAGGUCUGAGAUGAUAGAGGUGAGACAGGAACAGACACAUGAGGAGGUCUGAGAUGGUAGAGGUGAGACAGGAACAGACACAUGAGGAGGUCUGAGAUGGUAGAGGUGAGACAGGAACAGACACAUGAGGAGGUCUGAGAUGAUAGAGGUGAGGCAGGAACAGACACAUGAGGAGGUCUGAGAUGAUAGAGGUGAGACAGGAACAGACACAUGAGGUCUGAGAUGGUAGAGGUGAGACAGGAACAGACA